Molecule: unclassified non-coding RNA, 240 nt
Filed under: soil metagenome
Description: partial contains 5.8S ribosomal RNA, internal transcribed spacer 2, and large subunit ribosomal RNA
Source: RNAcentral
AACGCACGAGACCUGCGGACCUGCGGAAGGAUCGUUAUUGAAUAAACUUGGUUAGAUUGUAUGCUGGCUUUUUGAGAAGCAUGUGCACGUCUAAUCCAUUUUUAAUCCCCUGUGCAUCUUGUGUAGGCCUGUAUAACAUUUGAGCUGAUUUUAUGGCUCAGUUUUAGAAUCUGCUGUGAUCUUAACAGAGAUAAUUCAGCUUUUUCUUGUAUUUCAGGUCUAUGUUAUCUAUAACACUCC